RNAcentral lists this ribosomal RNA (394 nucleotides) under Chrysochromulina tobinii. RNAcentral's name for it is "partial small subunit ribosomal RNA". It matches the Rfam family "Eukaryotic small subunit ribosomal RNA", at positions 30 to 432 of the family's 1831-position model. The record is from RNAcentral. Lineage: Eukaryota; Haptophyta; Prymnesiales; Chrysochromulinaceae.
GCUUGUCUCAAAGAUUAAGCCAUGCAUGUCUAAGUAUAAGCGACUAUACUGUGAAACUGCGAAUGGCUCAUUAAAUCAGUUAUGGUUUAUUUGAUGGUACCUACUACUUGGAUAACCGUAGUAAUUCUAGAGCUAAUACAUGCAGGAAGACCCGACUCACGAAGGGUUGUAUUUAUUAGAUAAGAAACCUUCCCCUUUGGGUUGCGUGCCGAGUCACAAUAACUGAUCGAAUCGCAUGGGCCUUGCCCGCGAUACAUCAUUCAAGUUUCUGCCCCAUCAGCUUUCGAUGGUAGUGUAUUGGACUACCAUGGCUUUAACGGGUAACGGAGGAUUAGGGUUCGAUUCCGGAGAGGGAGCCUGAGAAACGGCUACCACAUCUAAGGAAGGCAGCAGG